UGCAUGGUGGCGCUGUUGGUAGCACUGUUGCCUUCUUGUUGCCUUGCAGCAAGAAGGUCCUGGGUUCAAUUCCCGGCCGGGGGUCUUUCUGCAU
This is a non-coding RNA of Crenichthys baileyi (White River springfish), 94 nucleotides long. The record is from the annotation of a GenBank genome assembly. Lineage: Eukaryota; Metazoa; Chordata; Actinopteri; Cyprinodontiformes; Goodeidae.